GAUGAACGCUGGCGGCGUGCCUAAUACAUGCAAGUAGAACGCUGAAGGAGGAGCUUGCUCUUCUGGAUGAGUUGCGAACGGGUGAGUAACGCGUAGGUAACCUGCCUGGUAGCGGGGGAUAACUAUUGGAAACGAUAGCUAAUACCGCAUGACAACAGUUAUUGCAUGAUAACUGUUUAAAAGGGGCAACUGCUCCACUACCAGAUGGACCUGCGUUGUAUUAGCUAGUUGGUGAGGUAACGGCUCACCAAGGCGACGAUACAUAGCCGACCUGAGAGGGUGAUCGGCCACACUGGGACUGGGACACGGGCCAGACUCCCACAGGAGGCAGCAGUAGGGAAUCUUCGGCAAUGGGCGGAAGUCUGACCGAGCAACGCCGCGUGAGUGAAGAAGGUUUUCGGAUCGUAAAGCUCUGUUGUAAGAGAAGAACGAGUGUGAGAGUGGAAAGUUCACACUGUGACGGUAUCUUACCAGAAAGGGACGGCUAACUACGUG
This 495-nucleotide ribosomal RNA is filed under the name uncultured bacterium. RNAcentral's name for it is "partial 16S ribosomal RNA". It matches the Rfam family "Bacterial small subunit ribosomal RNA", at positions 28 to 507 of the family's 1533-position model. The record is from RNAcentral.